RNAcentral lists this long non-coding RNA (686 nucleotides) under Pan paniscus (pygmy chimpanzee). Its description in RNAcentral is "lncRNA (ENSPPAG00000044759.1)". Lineage: Eukaryota; Metazoa; Chordata; Mammalia; Primates; Hominidae. The record is from RNAcentral.
AAAAAAACUAAAUAAAAUCCUGGGAAACGUGAAGAAUGCCAAAGAAAUGGAAAAAUGAGGACAGAAAAGAAUACUACUGCCUGGUUUCUGUGGCCAUAGGUCAAGCUGGAAAACAUUUUUCCAUAAAACCAUGUGCAAUUUCAUGCCAUAGGUGAAAGAAUAGCCCAAAUCCACAAGGUACUGUUAUGUCCUACAAAUUCUUUCACUCAGUCAUUAUUGAUGUGAUUUACAAUUAAUACGUGAUUGUUUUACGUUACAUUAUAUCGUAACACUGUAUUACAUUAUACCAUGCAAAGCCCAAUUAAUGUAUUCUUUUUUAUAUGCAUUGUCAGCAGAAUCUACUAAAGCCUUGAGUGUAUAUGAUGUGUGUUGUGGGCUGAAUUUUGUCCCUCCAAAAUUUUUAUGUUGAAGCCCUAAUUUCUGGAACCUCCGAAUAUGACUGUAUUUAGAGAUAAGACCUUUAAAGAGGCAAUUCAAUUAAAAAUAAGACCAUUAGGUUGAACCCUAAUCUAUUCUGACUGGUGUCCUUAUAUUAAGAGGGAAUUUGGAUGUACAAACAGAACCAAGGAGGUGCAGAACCAGAAGAAAGAUCAUGUGAGAACACCGCUCUAAGUAUCUGCAAGCCAUGGAGAGAGACUUCAAAAGAAACUGAACUCUGACAACACCUCUAUCUCGCUCUUCUAGCC